This is a long non-coding RNA of Bactrocera dorsalis (oriental fruit fly), 283 nucleotides long. RefSeq lists it as uncharacterized. The transcript is spliced from 2 exons. NCBI's taxonomy places the organism in Eukaryota, Metazoa, Arthropoda, Insecta, Diptera, Tephritidae. The record is from RefSeq and is a predicted model, not a curated record.
GCGAACAAACAAUGUAAAAUAAAAUGAUAAAAAAAUAUGGCACCGAUCGCUAAUUUGCUUGAUACGCAGCCCAUCUGCCUAUUUCCUAGAUUCUUAACGCGCUUGCAGAAAGUUACGUUCCUAAAUUUUCUCGUUUAGAACUGUGCGCCACAUGCACUACUGUGGAUGUAAAACAUGCAAUUUUUUAAAACAGAAUUGUUUGGAAAAGUACUUUUCAAUGCUAUGUCUGAAAGCAGCUUAAUUGCCGCAACAAAAGGGAGAUUGUUUUACAUGGAAAAAUCUG